RNAcentral lists this transfer RNA (85 nucleotides) under Felis catus (domestic cat). It matches the Rfam family "tRNA". Rfam says of the family: Transfer RNA (tRNA) molecules are approximately 80 nucleotides in length. Their secondary structure includes four short double-helical elements and three loops (D, anti-codon, and T loops). Lineage: Eukaryota; Metazoa; Chordata; Mammalia; Carnivora; Felidae. The record is from Rfam by way of RNAcentral.
ACCUGUCUAGCUCAGUAGGUUAAGCAUCAGACUUCGGCUCAGGUCAUGACUUUGCGGUUCAUGGGUUCAAGCCCCGUGUCAGGCU